Long non-coding RNA from Bos mutus (wild yak), 1770 nucleotides. Lineage: Eukaryota; Metazoa; Chordata; Mammalia; Artiodactyla; Bovidae. The record is from Ensembl.
GCAGACAAAGUGCCUCAACUUCCACAAUCGGCACUUCCCACAUCAAUCAUCACCUACUUUAUCAUCCAGUUUGGUUGGUUCAGAUGACUUUAAACAGGUUCCUGUGGAAGAAUGAAACACAGGGAGGAGAAGAGAACUGCCGAUUCCCAGGGGCCUGUGUCUGCCAGCGGCUGCUAAGUACCUCUGAGAAACUCUGCUUUGAGCUAAUAGGAACCCCCUGUUCUGGGAAGAUCAGUAUAUGGAACAAAAACCUCUGGGUGGACCCCUGGGCAAGAUGAAUUUGACCGACCAUAUGUUCCAGGACUCCAGCGAGAACAUCACCACCUCAACGUCAGGCCCCACACUACCCAGCAGCCUAGACACAGCGGCCACAGCUGUUUCUGGCUCCAUUGGUGUCGUGGCCCUCAUCUUGCUCCUGGUGGGACUCUUGUCCGUGACUCUGAAGAAAUGGAGGCAUGAGAGACUAUUUAAGAAACAACAGAAGCAUCAGACCAACUUUCUCCACAAAUCCUUGGAGCUUUCCUGCCAUGCCGAUGCCAUAUAUUCCAACGUGAUCAACCUGGCACCCAGGAAAGAGGAUGACUUCGCUGUCUAUGCCAACGUGCCCCCUUUCAACCGCCCCAGGAGGACAUCACCAGACCACGUGGAAUAUGCCUCCAUUGUAUUUCACUGAUGAGAGGCUCGUGAGAUGCUUCAGAGUGGAGAGUCAGACCUGUGCCUAUCUGUAUCCUGAUGCGGCUUUUGCUUUAGAUAUGUGUGUAUAUGUGUGCAUGUGUGUGUGUGUGUCUUUGCACGUGCCUGUGUGUGUUCAUGCACGCCCAUGCUUAAAAACCAUAAUAUGUAUUCUGAUGGAGGUAAAUGACUUGGUAUUUCUUCUAAUUUAUUGGAAGCAAGGUGCAGUUCUAAUGGAAAGGGGUGACAUCUGAGUGACAAGGGACAUAGUCAUUUCAGCCACUCUGAGCCAGAGGCAGGUUCCUGAGAGAGACUGGCCGAAAGAAGAGCCGUCUGUCUCCCCUGCCCCUCAUAAGGCCAGGGCUGAGGAGCAGGGCUCACCCCACUCAGGGACCAGCUCCCGGACUUCGUCUCUGCUGUGCUGCCCUGUAAGGAACUGACUCCCUGCAGAGGUUAACACGUGCAUCACACUCAGGUCUGUGGCUGAUCACCACGCACAUUUUCACAGCAGCUUUCCAGGGCCAUGCAGCAAGUGUGGAGGGAGGCGGCGUGGGGGAGCUGCAAGUCCAUGGGGUCUCAAAGAGUUGGACAUGACUGAAGCAACUUAGCACGCAAAUGCAAUGGAGAAAAGAAAAUUUCAUUUAAAAACAAAGCUUAUGGAAGCCACUUUCAUCUUCGAGGAUGAUGUGAUUCACAUCGUUAAGAAAACACCUAUUCUACGGAUCCAUUCCAUCUAUAGAGACUGGAGAGGGGAGAUGAAAGUAGGAAGGAAACACAAAGAUUUCCAAGCCUCUGCCUUCUUUUCUAUUGAUAAUGGGAAAGUUCAAGAGCAGGCAACCCUUUGUCUUUAACAUAGCUGUAUGAUGACCAGGUACCCUGAUUUGUUGGGGAUUUUCCUGGUGUACAACUGUGGUCCCAGCAAAAUUAUUAUUAGAUCCCCUUUCAUUCUCUAAAUUGUCAUAGUUUGGAUGAUAGAUUAUGUGGUCACCUGUUCACAAGAUUUUGAAAGUGCAAAAGCAAUUCCAAGACCAAUAAGGAAGGGAAAGCAAAGUUGUUUUGUACAAUAAAGUGGGAACGGAAUCGGGGUGGGAGUGGAGG